ACAGCUGUGAAUUGUACCCAUACCCGUCGAGAACUACGUAUUUGUGCGGUUAGCACUUGCGCUGUUUGGAUGGGUUCCAUUUGCUGCCUUCAUCUUUGCUUCAAUUGAAGUAAGAAGUAGAGUAGAAAUAAGAAACCGGCACGGUUUGUGCCCAGGACUGUUGUUGUUGGAAAGCUUGCCAUCAUUUUGAUGUGCUUUUGUUAUUCCAGUGAGCGUCUGAAUGACUCCUGGGAAUGGAUAUCUUGGCUCUCGUGUCGAUGAAAAACGUANCGAAAUGCGACACUUGGUGUGAAUUGCAGAAUCCCGUGAACCAUCUAGUCUUUGAAUGCAAGUUGCGCUCGAGGCCAUUANGUUGAGAGCACGUCUGUUUGGGCGUCAUGCCUCCAUUCAUUCUAACCACCCACCUAGUGAGUGAUGGCGGAUGUGGAGAUUGACCCUCCGUACCAUAAUGGUGCGGUUGGUUUAAGUGAAUGUUGUCGUUAGGUCUACGCGCGGCGAAUGGUGUAUCGAGUUAACACACGAUGUCUCUAACUGCGUCCAGGAGUCCUACGCACGAUGUAACAAUAAUGUGAAACCAUUUUCGACGUAUGCCUUAGUUGCAAGCUCGGAACAUGACCCCAGAUCAG
Molecule: ribosomal RNA, 626 nt
Filed under: Allium x proliferum (Egyptian walking onion)
Lineage: Eukaryota; Viridiplantae; Streptophyta; Magnoliopsida; Asparagales; Amaryllidaceae
Description: eukaryotic LSU rRNA
Rfam family: 5.8S ribosomal RNA (bases 223-378)
Source: RNAcentral